AUGAUAGGAGAUAUUUAACGCAGUGGAAACUGUCUUCCUGCCUUCUGUUACUCUUUUUAAAACUGGAAAAUAUCUUUCAUUCUUCCUUUUUAUCUGAUCAAUAGUAAGAUAGAAAUGAACUGUUGUUUGGUUUUCUCUAGAGUGGAUUUAAUAUUAUUUAAGACUGUUUUUUAGAACUACUAAGAAACUUCAGCUAAAGACAGCAGCCCUACAUUAAGAUCAUCGUUUAGCAGUCUUUCAGGAGAUGUUGUCAGAAAACCUAUUUUAAACUGGCUUUAAGCACAAAGAAUUUAUAGUUUCUCACGACUGAAAAUUCCAGAGGCAGUUUCAGGCAUUCCAGGAUCAGAGCUUAAAGAGUGUGACCAAACUUGUGUUUGCUCUUUUAUGUUUUUCCUUUCUCUGCUUUUUAUGAUUUCAUCCUUGAGUUGCAUGAAGUGGGCCCAGCAGGUCUGGGUUCUCCCUUCACAGGGACAAGAGCACUAACCUCACAUUUACUCCUGUUCAAGUUUCAGACUUCUCUGGCCUUACAAUGUGUCAAGUUGGUUUAACUAAAAAAUGCUUCCCAGAAUUCCCUUCACUGGUUAGGAUUGGUCACAAAAGAAAUCUGUACCAAAUUCAGAAGGUAACAGUGAACAGUAGCCAUUUCUAUUCAUGGAAAAUAGACAUAGGCCAGGCCUUAUUGUAGCCCCUGACUCAACUUGUUGGUCAAGGGCAGCUGACUAAGCACCAGCUACAAUCUCCCUGGGUUCCCCUUCUUCCAAACCCUGUCCAGAUGUGAGUACCAUUCUUCAGUGAGACCACCACUCGUCCUUCAGACUAUUCAUAGCAGUGAGGGUGGAAUCAGAGAGAGACCAACAUGGCGGGCAGGCAGCUGACAAAAGUACUUUGUAGUUGUUCCCCAUAUCCUGAAAGUUCUUGUCUCCAUUUUUUUCCUUCAGCCUGACCUGACUUCAGACUCUUUACCAAAGAGUAGCAUGCAUAAAUGCAUAAAUGCUAUUAUCUGAUCUAAUCUGUAUAAUAAAUCCUCAUUGAAGUGGUUCUUGCUUCUAAGGUAACCUUGUCUAGGAGAGUAAGACAAUACUUUCUGAUAACCCUACAAAUGGAGUCAUUUUGAUUGGACAAUUUAGGCUUCAAGUUUAUCCCUCAGCCAGUCAUUGAAAGCUGUAAUAAGCAAUCCUUCUAUUGGAUGGGCCUGGAUCAUAAGCUAAUUUAUUGACACCCUACCAGGGUCUGAGAGCUCAAAGUCAUUAAACACUGGAUGAAAUCUGAAUAUGUUUCUGGAAAUAGGAAGAGGUGGAUACUGGGGAAGCCAACAGCAGUUUCCCCCUAAAAAUGGGACAUGAGAUUUACCUCAGAACUAUUUCCUAUACUAAGAAACCUUUUUAUCUUAAGUAUAAUUCAAGGAGUUAAGUCUUAUUCCUUUGUUUCAGACUGGGCAAUGGGCCUAUGUCUAGGUACUUCUGCACUAAAUCAAACACUAAGUAAAUGAAACUUCACAGGCAAUGUCUGCUCUCCACAUGCUAACUUAUAAAUUGCUGAUGUUAUGAUAGAACCAUCAAAAACAUCCUCGAGACUAUGGGUGCACCUGACCUAGGCUUACUAUCUAGCAGGGCCAGUAAGCCAGUGAAUGCACUCUACCAGCUUUCAGAAAGAACUAAUGGGGAGAGUCUGAGAGAAGGUUCUAGAAUGCCUUGAUUCAGAACAUUGUAAAGUUAGAAUCAGUGCCAUGACUUGGUGAGAAACACUAUGGCAAAUUUCUUUGAAAAUUUCCUGAAUGAAAUUAUGAAACUACGGCAAGGGCAGUUGUAUUUCCAUCUUUUUCAGCUGUCUGAUUUUUUACUAGAGACCCUGAUUUCCUUUCCUGAAUAAGUAAUAACCCUAAACACCACCCAGAGGGAAAGUGGAACUGUGUGGUAAGGAUGGAAGUAAAUUAGAUGAUUUUAAAACAUCAUCGAAAAAUAAGGCAAAUGAAAGGGAUAGAACACAUAAAGGUGCUGUUUGUUCUUUUUGUAAAUGCAUAUCAGCUUUGUUAACAUAAUUCACAUUUCAUAUGGUUAACCAUUUCUGCUCAGUUUUAAGAACCCAUAAUAUUUUUUUUCUUAAUAUGUAGUACCCAUUUAAUACUUUUAAAAUCAUCUUCAUAAUUUACCAUGCUUGGAGAAAUGCUCUUCAGGAGGGAAUAUCACAUUGCCAUGUUUUUCAAGGUGGAAUAGAAUGCUGUGAGUUGUGGGGAAACAACAGAUUAGUGAUAAUGGUUGUUGGUGAGAGGACUUGACAUUAUAUUUCUGAAGCUAUUUUCAUGAGUUUUCACUGAUAGUUUGGAAGUAAAAAAAAAAAAACAAAACAAAAAACAUCAACAACCCUCUUCUUGCAUUCUUAGAGAACCUUUGUAUUCCUUUCCAUUUUGCUAACUGAGAAGUUAUUCUUUGCUUAAGAAUAAGAGUUCAAGUUCGACUGUGAGAGUUACAGAUUCAGGACAGUUAAUUAAUCCAUUUGCCCUGGGUUCCUGCCUAGAGCAAGGCUUUUAAUCCAACUUUCAGGAAACUUCUGUUUUGACCAGUUAGUAAAUUCUGUGAUUAUUUACCAGAAAAUUGCAUUAGUUUGCCAGGGCUGCUGUAACAAAGUACCACAGAUUUGUUAACUCAAAAAAAACCCGGUUUUCUCACAACUUGACAGGCUAGAAGUAAGAACAAGGUUUUCACAGACUUGUUCCUUUUGAGGGCCACAAGGGAAGGAUUUGGUCCUGUCCUUUCUCCUUAGCCUAUGAAUAGUCAUCUUCUCCCUGUGUCUUUACAAGGCCACCCCUGCAGGCCUCUGUCAUGUCUUUUUAAUGAACACAAUUCAUCUUGGAUUAGGACUCACCCUAGUGAUCUCAUUUUGACUUAAUUACCUCUUAAAAGAUCCUACCUCUAAAUGUAUUCACAUUCUUAGGUACUGAGGGUUGGCACUUCAACAACUGAAAGGAUGACAUAAUUGAGUUCACAACAAAAAUGAUUUGGUCAAUCUUUAUAGUUUUUUAACUCACUGAAAUCAAUUACUUUGGUCAAAUGCAUUUUAGACAAUCAUUAAAUAAACCUUUACAUUUUUUUCUCCUUUUUCUAUCACCAAGAAGUUGUAGAUAUUUGCAAAAUGUGAGGAGGGGGAUGGACUCCAGAGCCCCAGGAUGAUCAUAAAUUCAGAGAGACAGACAGCCAAUCUUGAUAACUGAAACUCUGUCCAGACAUUGUUCUUUAACAUCAGGCAUGACUUACAAACUCUGCUUCUUAGAACUCUUAGACAACAACAUUGCUGUGGAUAACAUAUACUUUUAGAUAAUUUUCCAUGGGUGUUCUUUGAUGUCAUGAUAGGAUCUGGAUGCUGCAGAAAAAUAGUGCUCAUUUGACAGGUGAGGAAUUAUGAAGAUAGUUUAACAGACUGGGUGUUGGGGAUGGGGACUGCAAUAGGAAUCUAGAUCCUUUUGAGAUAUCUAUCUAUACUAGAAAUAAAGAUUUAGAUAAAGCUUUCUAAAAUAUUGGUGAGCACUGAGAUGCCCAAGAAGCAAAACAUGGAGCAAAACAAAACAAUGGAAGUUUUAGGUCACCCAGAAAGCCCUCUCAGCAAAGCUCCUGGGAGAAUGGUCUUAAGGCAAAUGGAGGGUAAGAAAGAAAGGACACACUGGACUCCUGAGGAGCCCAAGGAGAUCAUCCUGAAAUCUCCAACUGAGAACUGCAAUUUGAGAGAAAAGGUUAAAAAAUCUCCCCCAAUUGCUAUUUUUAACAGACUCCUUUCAGUGUAAUUAGGGUAAACAACAUUUCCCGGUUUGCCCAAGACUGAGGGGUUUCCUGUGACAUGGGAUUUUCAAUGCUAAAACCAGAAAAGUCCCAGACUAACCAAGACAGUUGGCCACUCUAAGUAUAAAACACUGAAAGUCACUGUAAAAAAUAAAAAGGACAACUGGGGGAAUAGCACCUUAAAUCAUAAUCAGGUACUUUGUAACCUCACUCAAUACCCACCAUAGUAACCCUACAGGAGGGAAGGAUAUAGGUUAUUUUUAUGUGUGAAGGGAAUCAAAAAGAGUACCCUGAAUGGGCAUUACUUAAAGUAAACACAGGGAACAAAAUUUGAUAGGGAGGAAUACUGAGAGUAAGCCUUGAUUAGAAAAUUCUGACUGAGGAUCAGACCCAAUACAGCUUUUGCCUAAUGUAGAUAAUCCUUGCAAAGACAUCUGUGUGUUUUUUACCCAAUUACCAUCUUAUCUGACUACAGAACACUGAAUUAACUUAAUUUAGUAAUAUAUAUAUAUAUAUAUAUAUAUAUAUGUGUGUGUGUGUGUGUGUGUGUGUGUGUGUGUGUGUGUGUGUAUACACAAUCUGUCACUUUACAUAAACAUUCCAGUCAGGUUAUAGAGAGGGUGUUUGUCAAAGUGUUAUUUUGGCUUAUGAAAACCAGUACUAGUAAU
RNAcentral lists this long non-coding RNA (4438 nucleotides) under Marmota monax (woodchuck). The record is from RNAcentral. Lineage: Eukaryota; Metazoa; Chordata; Mammalia; Rodentia; Sciuridae.